RNAcentral lists this ribosomal RNA (254 nucleotides) under uncultured bacterium. RNAcentral describes it as "partial 16S ribosomal RNA". It matches the Rfam family "Bacterial small subunit ribosomal RNA", at positions 524 to 776 of the family's 1533-position model. The record is from RNAcentral.
UACGUAGGGUCCAAGCGUUAUCCGGAAUCACUGGGCGUAAAGCGUGCGUAGGUGGAUGUUUAAGUGUAUUGCGAAAUCUUGUGGCUCAACCAUAUAGACUGUAAUGCAUACUGGAUAUCUAGAGGACGGCAGAGGCAAGUGGAAUUUGUAGUGUAGCAGUGAAAUGCGUAGAUAUUACAAGGAACACCAAUGGCGAAGGCAGCUUGCUGGGCCGACCCUGACACUGAGGUACGAAAGCGUGGGGAGCGAACAGG